Molecule: transfer RNA, 73 nt
Filed under: Fusibacter sp. 3D3
Lineage: Bacteria; Bacillati; Bacillota; Clostridia; Eubacteriales; Fusibacteraceae
Description: Fusibacter sp. 3-D3-R-P8ASC2010 tRNA
Rfam family: tRNA
About the family: Transfer RNA (tRNA) molecules are approximately 80 nucleotides in length. Their secondary structure includes four short double-helical elements and three loops (D, anti-codon, and T loops). Further hydrogen bonds mediate the characteristic L-shaped molecular structure. tRNAs have two regions of fundamental functional importance: the anti-codon, which is responsible for specific mRNA codon recognition, and the 3' end, to which the tRNAs corresponding amino acid is attached (by aminoacyl-tRNA synthetases). tRNAs cope with the degeneracy of the genetic code in two manners: having more than one tRNA (with a specific anti-codon) for a particular amino acid; and 'wobble' base-pairing, i.e. permitting non-standard base-pairing at the 3rd anti-codon position.
Source: Rfam by way of RNAcentral
AGGGGUGUAGCUCAGCUGGUAGAGCAGCGGUCUCCAAAACCGCGUGUCGUAGGUUCGAACCCUGUCACCCCUG